AAUCGAACCCGGAGAUAGCUGGUUCUCCUCGAAAUAGCUUUAGGGCUAGCCUCAUGGAUCAUUGGUGGGGGUAGAGCACUGAAUGUGCGCGGGGGCCACAAAGCCUACCAAACGCUAUCAAACUUCGAAUACCAUACAAUGCAGACCAUGGGAGUCAGUCCGCGAGAGAUAAGUUCCGCGGGCAAAAGGGGAACACCCCAGAUCAACCGCUAAGGUCCCCAAGUUCACGUUAAGUGGAGAAGGAUGUGGAAUUGCACAGACAACCAGGAUGUUGGCUCAGAAGCAGCCACACAUUUAAAGAGUGCGUAAUAGCUCACUGGUCGAGUGAUUGUGCGCCGAAGAUGUCCGGGGCUAAACGUGACACCGAAGCGAUGGGUGCAUCUGAAGAAGAUGCGCGGUAGAGGAGCAAUGUGCAGAGGCAGAAGCCGUAUCGAGAGGCACGGUGGACACUGCACAAGAGAGAAUGCCGGUAUGAGUAGCGAGAGGCAUGCGAGAAACAUGCCCGUCGAAAGCCCAAGGUUUCCUGGGGAAGGUUCAUCCGCCCAGGGUAAGUCGGGGCCUAAGCCGAGGACGGAAGUCGUAGGCGAUGGACAGCAGGUGUAGAUUCCUGCACUACCGAUGGAAUGAAGCAGUGACACAGAAGGAUAACUCGAGCAGGGUGAUGGUCAACCCUGUGCAAGCAUCAAGGUUGGGUUGUAGUGAAGUACGCAAUCCUAUAAGCUGAGGUGUGAUGCGGACCGAAAUUUCAGUAGGGAAGCGAGUGAGUUCACGCUGGCGAGAAAAGCUGCUAGUACAUCCAAAGGUACCCGUACCGGAAACCGACGCAGGUGGGCGAGGAGAGAAUCCUGAGACGAACGGGAGAACCCUUGUUAAGGAACUCGGCAAAAUGACCCCGUAACUUCGGGAUAAGGGGUGCCUGCGAGAGCAGGCCGCAGAGAAUAGUCACAAGCGACUGUUUAGCAAAAACACAGGUAUCUGCGAAAGCGAGAGCUGACGUAUAGGUGCUGACACCUGCCCGGUGCUGGAAGGUUAAGGGAACAUGUUAGAGCAAUCGAAGCAUCGAACCGAAGCCCCAGUAAACGGCGGCCGUAACAAUAACGGUCCUAAGGUAGCGAAAUUCCUUGUCGGGUAAGUUCCGACCCGCACGAAUGGUGUAACGACUUGUGAGCUGUCUCAACAGGGGGCCCGGUGAAAUUGAAGUAUGGGUGAAGAUGCCCAUUACCCGCGACUGGACGGAAAGACCCCGUAGAGCUUUACUGCAGCCUGAUAUUGAGUUUCGGUAACUGAUGCACAGGAUAGGUGGGAGUCUGAGAGACAUGGGUUUCGGCUCAUGUGGAGACGGUGUUGGGAUACCACUCUUCGGUUACUGAAAUUCUAACAUAGCUCUGUGAAACCAGAGGAUGGACAGUGUCAGGUGGACAGUUUGACUGGGGCGGUCGCCUCCGAAAGAGUAACGGAGGCGCCCAAAGGUACCCUCAGAAUGGAUGGAAACCAUUCGAAGAGCGCAAAGGCAGAAGGGUGCCUGACUGCGAGAUUGACAAAUCGAGCAGAGACGAAAGUCGGGCUUAGUGAUCCGGCGGUAUUGAGUGGAAAAGCCGUCGCUUAACGGAUAAAAGCUACCUCGGGGAUAACAGGCUGAUCUCCCCCAAGAGUCCACAUCGACGGGGAGGUUUGGCACCUUGAUGUCGGCUCGUCGCAUCCUGGGGCUGAAGCAGGUCCCAAGGGUUUGGCUGUUCGCCAAUUAAAGCGGCACGCGAGCUGGGUUCAGAACGUCGUGAGACAGUUCGGUCCCUAUCCAUCGUGGGCGUAGGAGUCAUGAGAGGAGCUGUUCCUAGUACGAGAGGACCGGAAUGGACGCACCACUGGUGCAACUGUUGUCGUGCCAACGGCAUAGCAGGGAAGCGAAGUGCGGAUGGGAUAAACGCUGAAGGCAUCUAAGCGUGAAGCCCACCUCAAGAAUAAGACUCCACAAUAGACCCCUGGAGGACUACCAGGUAGAUAGGUCAUCGGUGGAAGCGCUGUAAGGCGUGU
RNAcentral lists this ribosomal RNA (2031 nucleotides) under human gut metagenome. RNAcentral's name for it is "bacterial LSU rRNA". It matches the Rfam family "Bacterial large subunit ribosomal RNA", at positions 831 to 2888 of the family's 2925-position model. The record is from RNAcentral.